Notolabrus celidotus (New Zealand spotty) is the source of this 1318-nucleotide long non-coding RNA. RefSeq lists it as uncharacterized. NCBI's taxonomy places the organism in Eukaryota, Metazoa, Chordata, Actinopteri, Labriformes, Labridae. The record is from RefSeq and is a predicted model, not a curated record. The transcript has 3 exons.
GCCUGCCUUAUAAUUAGGGGCCGGAUUUGUAGAAGCCGUUUUAGUUUAAGUGGGAAUUUACCUGCUGGGUUUUGGUUAUGGGCGGGGCCAGUAACUAUAUAAGGCAGGAGGCACAGGUGUGUGUAAAUGCAUUCUUUUGUUUUGGGUUAGAUGGAGCGUCAUGAGUAACGCUUUUUGACCGUGACCUAUUUGAGCCUGUUUUUGAGUAUGUUUUCAGUGGAAGAAAAUGGAAAAACUCUCAUGGAAUAAACUGAGAUUGAACUACGGACCUUGUAUAACGUAUUUAAAGUGGUCAGCGCACAAACAGCACAGUUAUGAGUCGUGAUCCGGUUUCAGUGGCCCCCUGACCCCAUGCAGCUCCCGGAGAGCCACUGGGACAGUCUGACAGGACUUCCUGCUGGGAGCCAAGUUUUUUUUCCUCUUUUUUGAGCAUGAAUUUCGACAAUUCAAACUUCCGCUCAAUGACAAGCUACGAGUCCCAUGCUGGAAAAAGGUCCCAUGUGUUUGAAGCAUCUAGGCCGCUCCAUCUUUUUGAUCAGCAGCUCGGCUGUGAAUUCUGCAGAUCAGAAAGUGGAUCAGAGGCUCCCUGGGGACCGCCAUUUAUGCCUGCCACCAGCGGAGGAUAGAGAACGUAAUUAAGAGUUUGUUAAGAUGCCCAAAUUCCUUCUUAUUUCCACCCGCCUCCCUCCAUCCGCCUCCUAUCCCUCCCCCUCCUGCUCCCGGUAGCUCUGAUCUCGCCACAGAUUAAACCUCUCAUUCCCCGAGAAGACAGAGCCACGGAGGGGAGCUGCAUCUCCAGCCACACAGGCUGAUUAUCUUAAAGAGUAAUUAGUGAGUGUGACAAUCUCUGAGACAGAGCACGGUGUCGACAUGAUGGAGACGGAUUAUUCUGACUGGGGUGUACACGGGCCCCUCUGAAAGGCACAAAAAAGAGGAGAGCAUGUGUUGCAUGUGUGUUAAUUAUCAAUGUCACUCACUCUUUAUGUGUCUUUACGUGCUUGUUAGUAAUUACUGUUCAUGUAUGUAUAUGUAUCAGUGUCAGUCAGUCAGUCAGCCAGCGACUUCCAAACACCGCAAGGCAACAAUUAUCCCCUCAAUAAUAUGCAGCUCGGGCUUAGUACAUACUGUGAAAGAUUUGAUACUGAAUGCUAAUUGAUCUGGAAGCUGAUUGUUAUUUUUGUGGGGGAGGGUGAAGACGUGAAAACAGAUUGUUCUUGCAUUGAAAUGUGUCUGUGUUGUUCAGUAUAAGCAUACAACUCACAUAUAACAAAGACAAAGUACAUUAGCAUAACAUACAUGUGGGUAAAAAGUCUCUCUU